RNAcentral lists this ribosomal RNA (467 nucleotides) under uncultured bacterium. RNAcentral's name for it is "partial 16S ribosomal RNA". It matches the Rfam family "Bacterial small subunit ribosomal RNA", at positions 28 to 506 of the family's 1533-position model. The record is from RNAcentral.
GACGAACGCUGGCGGCGUGCUUAACACAUGCAAGUCGAACGGAAAGGCCCUGCUUUUGUGGGGUGCUCGAGUGGCGAAUGGGUGAGUAACACGUGAGUAACCUGCCCUUGACUUUGGGAUAACUUCAGGAAACUGGGGCUAAUACCGGAUAGGAGCUCCUGCUGCAUGGUGGGGGUUGGAAAGUUUCGGCGGUUGGGGAUGGACUCGCGGCUUAUCAGCUUGUUGGUGGGGUAGUGGCUUACCAAGGCUUUGACGGGUAGCCGGCCUGAGAGGGUGACCGGCCACAUUGGGACUGGGAUACGGCCCAGACUCCUACGGGAGGCAGCAGUGGGGAAUAUGGCACAAUGGGCGGAAGCCUGAUGCAGCAACGCCGCGGGCGGGAGGACGGCCUUCGGGUUGUAAACCGCUUUCGCCUGUGACGAAGCGUGAGUGACGGUAAUGGGUAAAGAAGCACCGGCUAACUACGU